Non-coding RNA from Vicugna pacos (alpaca), 827 nucleotides. The record is from RefSeq and is a predicted model, not a curated record. Lineage: Eukaryota; Metazoa; Chordata; Mammalia; Artiodactyla; Camelidae.
CGGGGCUUCUGGGCACCGCCUUCUCGCGCUCGCGUGCCGGGCGGCCGGAGGCUGCUCGGGCUGCUGAGGGUUUAGGAUUCGGACUGGGCGGUUGUUGGCCUUAGGAUCUCGCUUGGGUGCGCGGAGAGGUGGGAAGGGGCAGCCGCCUGCACAUAUUGGGGGCCGGGUGAGCCAGAACGACCUCAGGAUGAAAACAUGCAAGCUGUCCGGCCUCUGCAGCCACCCCUAAAGGUGCCUCUAGAGGGAACUCAGGAUGGGAAAGAAAGAGAAAUGCCUCUUAUUAAAUACCGGAUUGCUUACACCCUAUACACCUAACUUUGAGAGCUCAUCUGCAUCAUUACUUCCUGAAAUAAGUAACUGAACUGACCCACUGUCAGGACUAAGAGGCUGGCUCAGUGAGGUAGAAAGCAACCUAUCAACUAAACUUCUGGACUGUGAAGACUUCUUAAGAGGAGUUCCAAAGGCGGCACUGCAGAGGAGCAAAAUUUAUCACCCCAAAAUGCCUCUUUAGCUUGCAGAUUAUUUUGAGCUGAAAACAAGUGAAGACCAAAAGACGCAGGAAGAAACUUUGACCAUCCUCCUGACUGCCUAAAGAAAGUUUCAACCCACCAGAAGAAUCUAGAAGUGUAGAAGGGAAAUGUCGUCCUCCUGACAAAGUGAACCUACGGAAUCCUAGACACCCCACCCUUGGACACUGACAAAGGCUGAGUUCCAGAUUCUCCUUCUCUCUCCUUCUCUAUCUGUCUCCCUCCCUCCCAUGACUUCACAAUUUGGCCCUGGGGCACACCGUGUACCCUCCAAGACCUAUGAGUAAUAAAUCUUCCUCC